RNAcentral lists this ribosomal RNA (495 nucleotides) under uncultured bacterium. RNAcentral describes it as "partial 16S ribosomal RNA". It matches the Rfam family "Bacterial small subunit ribosomal RNA", at positions 28 to 507 of the family's 1533-position model. The record is from RNAcentral.
GAUGAACGCUGGCGGCGUGCCUAAUACAUGCAAGUCGAACGCUGAAGGAGGAGCUUGCUCUUCUGGAUGAGUUGCGAACGGGUGAGUAACGCGUAGGUAACCUGCCUGGUAGCGGGGGAUAACUAUUGGAAACGAUAGCUAAUACCGCAUGACAACAGUUAUUGCAUGAUAACUGUUUAAAAGUGGCAACUGCUCCACUACCAGAUGGACCUGCGUUGUAUUAGCUAGUUGGUGAGGUAACGGCUCACCAAGGCGACGAUACAUAGCCGACCUGAGAGGGUGAUCGGUCACACUGGGACUGAGACACGGCCCAGACUCCUACGGGAGGCAGCAGUAGGGAAUCUUCGGCAAUGGACGGAAGUCUGACCGAGCAACGCCGCGUGAGUGAAGAAGGUUUUCGGAUCGUAAAGCUCUGUUGUAAGAGAAGAACGAGUGUGAGAGUGGAAAGUUCACACUGUGACGGUAUCUUACCAGAAAGGGACGGCUAACUACGUG